Long non-coding RNA from Erinaceus europaeus (western European hedgehog), 585 nucleotides. RefSeq lists it as uncharacterized. The transcript has 3 exons. NCBI's taxonomy places the organism in Eukaryota, Metazoa, Chordata, Mammalia, Eulipotyphla, Erinaceidae. The record is from RefSeq and is a predicted model, not a curated record.
GCCGCUUCUGGGUCCUCCCUUCUGCCUGCAAGACCCGGCCGCGGGGCGGGAGCCGCGACUCUGCUGCCCGGGUUCUGGGAGCGGACAGACAGGGAAGAGGCACUUCUAGCACCUGAAAAGGAACCCAGCCCAGCUACAAAAUGACAAUCUUCUCCUUUCCUGCUCUGCCUCUGGGUAUACUUAAACAAAUCCAUGAAUAAUCAGAUAUCAGAUUUGACAAGCCACCCAGUUGCAGAUGCUACCAUGAUGCCCACCUGACUUCCCUGCACAGAUGGCUUCACCAUUGGAUCCUGGAACCCCAUCUCUCUGGAGCCCUGUCCCACUAGGGAAAGAUAGAAACAGGCUGGGAGUAUGGAUCAACCUGUCAACACCUAUGUUCAGCAGAGAAGUAAUUACAGAAGCCAAACCUUCCACCUUCUGCACCCCAUAAUGAUCCUGGGUCCAUGCUCCCAGAGGGAUAAAGAAUAGGAAAGCUUUUAAAGGAAGGGGUGGUAGAAACUGUGUGGAGUCGUACCCAUCUUGUUUUAUGGUCUUGCUGAUAUUUUUAUUUUAUAAGUAAAUAAAUAAAUAAAAUUAAAAUCACUA